Molecule: long non-coding RNA, 1035 nt
Organism: Anas platyrhynchos (mallard)
Lineage: Eukaryota; Metazoa; Chordata; Aves; Anseriformes; Anatidae
Source: RefSeq, a predicted model, not a curated record
ACACACAUGUUUGUACGUGGAAAUGGGUUAGUCACAAAAGGAAGGAAAACCAUGAAAGAAAAAUAAAAUCUGGGGCUUAAAAUGUGGGCACGUGGCCAAACUGGCCUCUUAUUUCAAAGGCAGGGAGAAAGCUGCCUGCAUGUCACAGUUAAUACAACAAGCUUUAUUUUUCCCCUUGCAGGCUGAAAUAUUCACAAGCAUGCUGAGAAGGAGCAGAGGCGGACCCGCUCCUCACAGGGAGGUGGAAAGACCCCAUGGUUGACAGCCACCAGCUGCUUCUGGCUGUCACCGCUCCCACCUGGCACCAUGGCUCACCUCGCCCCGCAGCAAUCUGCACUGUGCAGGAACACCACCGUGCAGGAAAUGCAGCUCUUGGCAGAGAACGGGAUGGAGAUGACAGGGUCUGUAGGCUGCAGGCUUUUCGGAGGAAAAACAUUCAUUGCCAUGCCUUCCUGUGAUCUUGUGCAUACACUGGAUGACUCGGGACUGCAUUCCUUUGCCACAGGUAACGGAGCACUGAAACACACAGAAGACAGACAUUCACUGGAAAGGUAUUUUUGCCUGCAAAACAUGAGGUGAAAUGCUAGUCCAGCUGAAGUCAAUGGCUGUUACCUCAGUUACCAGCAAUCUGAGAUUUCUGCCUUCUAUUCAGUAACCUAUAUGAAAGUCAACUCCUAUAUAAAACAACAGGCCAAAACGAAACACCACUGAAGUAGUGUUUCCAUGUUUCCAGCACGCUGUGGCUGUCAAGGUCCACUUUGCAGAGCCAGUGAUGAAACUGAAAUGCAUGAAAGGAGCAAGGGCCAUUCUCCUGUGUUUGUCUUCUAAUUUACUUUUAUAAUGGAAGUGAGAGUGAUGGAACAAACAACAAUGCUGACGCAGAGAAGCAUUUUGAAAUAAGCCAUUACUCCUUCUGUCAGUGCAGAUUGUCCUUUCCACUGAGAAGUUUUGAGUGUUUGCCUCCUUCUCCUGCCUUUGCUUUCUGUCUCCAUGUUUUCAUGUGUGUCUGACAAAUAAAACCCAUGCAAUCCGUGA